CCCAAAGGAUCGCCAUUUCUA
Molecule: non-coding RNA, 21 nt
Filed under: Arabidopsis thaliana (thale cress)
Lineage: Eukaryota; Viridiplantae; Streptophyta; Magnoliopsida; Brassicales; Brassicaceae
Source: RNAcentral